UACGUAGGGGGCAAGCGUUGUCCGGAAUCAUUGGGCGUAAAGCGCGCGUAGGCGGCUUUGCAAGUCGAUUGUGAAAUCCCCAGGCUUAACCUGGGAACUGCAUUCGAGACUGCAGAGCUAGAGUAUGGGAGAGGGAAGUGGAAUUUCAGGUGUAGCGGUGAAAUGCGUAGAUAUCUGAAGGAACAUCAGUGGCGAAAGCGACUUCCUGGACCAAUACUGACGCUCAUGUGCGAAAGCGUGGGGAGCAAACAGG
This 253-nucleotide ribosomal RNA is filed under the name uncultured bacterium. RNAcentral's name for it is "partial 16S ribosomal RNA". It matches the Rfam family "Bacterial small subunit ribosomal RNA", at positions 524 to 776 of the family's 1533-position model. The record is from RNAcentral.